UGGGGGAUAUUGCACAAUGGGCGCAAGCCUGAUGCAGCGACGCCGCGUGGGGGAUGAAGGCCUUCGGGUUGUAAACUUCUUUUGCUCUGAACAAGGCGCACUUUGGGGUGUGUUGAGUGUAGGGGUUGAUUAGCGCCGGCUAACUACGUGCCAGCAGCCGCGGUAAUACGUAGGGCGCGAGCGUUGUCCGGAAUUAUUGGGCGUAAAGGGCUUGUAGGUGGCUGGUUGCGUCUGUCGUGAAAGCUCAUGGCUUAACUGUGGGUUUGCGGUGGGUACGGGCUGGCUUGAGUGCAGUAGGGGAGGCUGGAAUUCCUGGUGUAGCGGUGGAAUGCGCAGAUAUCAGGAGGAAUACCGGUGGCGAAGGCGGGUCUCUGGGCUGUUACUGACACUGAGGAGCGAAAGCAUGGGAGCGAACAGG
Molecule: ribosomal RNA, 418 nt
Filed under: bacterium
Lineage: Bacteria
Description: partial 16S ribosomal RNA
Rfam family: Bacterial small subunit ribosomal RNA
Source: RNAcentral